CCUACGGGGGGCAGCAGUGAGGAAUAUUGGUCAAUGGGCGGGAGCCUGAACCAGCCAAGUCGCGUGAGGGAAGACGGUCCUAUGGAUUGUAAACCUCUUUAGGCGGGGAGAAAUGCCGGGCACGUGUGCCCGGAGGGAGAGUACCCGCAGAAUAAGCAUGGGCUAACUCCGUGCCAGCCGCCGCGGUAAUCCGGAGGAUGCGAGCGUUAUUCGGAUUUAUUGGGUUUAAAGGGUGCGGAGGCGGAUUUUUAAGUCAGCGGUAAAAUGUCGGGGCUCAACCCGGGCCUGCCGUUGAAACUGGGGAUCUUGAGUGGGCGAGAAGUAUGCGGAAUGCGUGGUGUAGCGGUGAAAUGCAUAGAUAUCACGCAGAACUCCGAUUGCGAAGGCAGCAUACCGGCGCCCGACUGACGCUGAGGCACGAAAGCGUGGGGAUCGAACAGGAUUAGAUACCCCUGUAGUC
This 460-nucleotide ribosomal RNA is filed under the name uncultured bacterium. RNAcentral's name for it is "partial 16S ribosomal RNA". It matches the Rfam family "Bacterial small subunit ribosomal RNA", at positions 338 to 795 of the family's 1533-position model. The record is from RNAcentral.